This 420-nucleotide ribosomal RNA is filed under the name uncultured archaeon. RNAcentral describes it as "partial 16S ribosomal RNA". It matches the Rfam family "Archaeal small subunit ribosomal RNA", at positions 323 to 746 of the family's 1478-position model. The record is from RNAcentral.
CUACGGGAUGCUGCAGGCGCGAAACCUUUACAAUGCACGAAAGUGUGAUAAGGGAACCCAGAGUGCUUAGUUUAACUAGGCUUUUGCCAAGAGUAAAUAUCUUGGAGAAUAAGUGGUGGGUAAGACUGGUGCCAGCCGCCGCGGUAAUACCGGCGCCACGAGUGGGAACUAUAAUUAUUGGGCCUAAAGCGUCCGUAGCCUGUUUGAUAAAUUUCUUGUGAAACUGUUAGGCUUAACUUAACAACGUGCAGGAAAGACUGUCAAACUCGGGACUGGGAGGGGUUAGAAGUAUCUUUGGGGUAGCGGUAAAAUGCUAUAAUCCUAAAGGGACUACCUGUGGCGAAAGCGUCUAACCAGAACAGGUCCGACGGUGAGGGUCGAAAGCUAGGGGAGCAAAACGGAUUAGAUACCCUCGUAGUC